CCGUGAUCGAGGUAACGUAACCCGAAGUAAGAGGUCUCCAGCAAGUUGAGGUGCUUGAACACUCUGUCCAAUAGUUCUUGACCCAGAAUACGGGCAAACGAGCGUUUUCACCCCUCCUUUCUCGAUCGCGUGAUACGUGUGUGUACAGACGGGUAUAUAUCAGGCGAAAAACUAGAAAUAUAUAGCGCGGCAAAUUCAAUCCCUGAGCUGCUGCGAACGCAAAAGAAUAAGCGAAAGGAAACGCGAAGUCUAGUAAGCAGUGUAAUGAAAGUGGCGGACGCGCGUUUAAAAGUAUAGCAAGAAACUACCGAAGCGGUUAGAAGAAGCGGAAGAAGAAGGAGAAGAAGACGAAAGACCUCGCCCUUUUUUUCCGCCUAAGGCCUAGGAGAGCCGAGUAUAGGUUCAGGAGAUGGGCAUUCUAAUCCUUCCCGCCUGCAGCUCGUUGUGGGAAUCGAAAACACUACAACGCAGAAGGACUAGUCUGUAAGGCGCUUCUUCACGACCUUCACUUCAGUGAGAAAAUGUCAUUUGGACCGGGUCGCGCGCUUACGACGCCAGAUUUUCGCUGAACGGUCAACGAUCCUCGGCGUUCAUUGUCAGACACGUACUGUUUGAGCUUCUUGGGACGAAAAACUUUACUCCAAUUUCCUUAGGAAAUUUAUCUAGAAAUUUCCUUGCACGGAAAAAAAUUAGUAUUAAUUCAACACUUGUACUAACUUAUACUAAUUUUUCUUUGCGUAGGUUCGAAGAGCAGAAUGACAGCCGAAUCACUUAGAUUCGAAUGAUUCUCCACUCGUACAGAGCAAAUUCCCCACUCGAAUAUUCUCACUCGAAACUGAAGAGUCCCAUUGUCGCAGGAACGGAUUUCGCUCAAACUUCGAUCGAAAAUUCCACUCGUGCGGAGUCGGAAUCCAUUCUGAGCUCGAGUGAAACGUUCACCCUUGCGAUUUCGAGUACGCGGUAUUUUCACUUCGCCGCUUCGAGCGAAAACACUGCUGUUUUUCGCUCGUUUCGAGAGCGGGACAUUCCACUUCGAGAAAUUUAGAGAGAGAAGUGCGCGGGGAAAUGAGAGUGGAGUGGCGCCGAUUGUACGGGAGAUACAAUCGGGGGACAUGAUAAUAAUGGCGAAGUGGAAAUAAGCAAUACCUCCGGCUAACGACACGACAGCCACGGCGAGGAAGAGAAGAAUGAGCGGCGAAUCUCUCGCGGCGCGGCAAGCAGCCAACGUCGCCGCUUUGUAUCGCAGAUUCGUUUUUGCCAUCUAUCGUGACUAGGUACGACAACGUCAAGAAAAGCGAAAAGUCCUACUGUCCGUUAUAGUGAUCGUGAGAUAGGUAGAAAAGGAAGAAAAGCCCUGUCGGAUAUCGCCAACGGCGAGCGUUAAGCGCCCUUUGUGUAAUUGGUCGAUGUCGAAGCGAAGAAAAGAUAAUCGGAGGCAUGAGACGUAGCUGGAGAUUCGUGGAACUUCGAUAGGGUUGGCUCUCUCUUUCUUUCUCUCUCUCUCUCUCUCUCUCUCAAGCUUCUCGACUUUUAUUUCUCCUGCAGAUAGCUUCGAGAAUUACCGCGAAAUUAAU
This is a long non-coding RNA of Dinoponera quadriceps, 1574 nucleotides long. RefSeq lists it as uncharacterized. The record is from RefSeq and is a predicted model, not a curated record. The transcript has 3 exons. NCBI's taxonomy places the organism in Eukaryota, Metazoa, Arthropoda, Insecta, Hymenoptera, Formicidae.